Molecule: long non-coding RNA, 200 nt
Filed under: Arabidopsis lyrata
Lineage: Eukaryota; Viridiplantae; Streptophyta; Magnoliopsida; Brassicales; Brassicaceae
Description: long non-coding RNA (ALYR_LNC001992)
Source: RNAcentral
CUGUUAUCAUCAACCAGCAGGGUCCUGCUGUAGUCUUUUUUGUCAAUGGCGGCCGCAAGGAACGCCUUGUUUUCAUCACAAGCCUCUGCUAUCGGCUUGGAAAGUUUCUUACGCUGGGCAGUAAGGGCCCGAGCUGACAUUCCCUGAGUUGAGGGAGGAGGCGGAAGACGAUGAAGUAGAUUGGGAGGACUCAUCCUGAG